This 119-nucleotide ribosomal RNA is filed under the name Petromyzon marinus (sea lamprey). Lineage: Eukaryota; Metazoa; Chordata; Hyperoartia; Petromyzontiformes; Petromyzontidae. The record is from RNAcentral.
GCCUCUGAUAAAAUCACCCAGAAUGCAUCCGGUCUGAUCAGAUCUCGGGAAGCUAAGUAGGUUGAGCCUGACCAGUUCUCGGAUGGGCGUCUGCCAUGCUAUAUCAGGUGUUAUAGGCG